Molecule: ribosomal RNA, 426 nt
Filed under: uncultured bacterium
Lineage: Bacteria
Description: bacterial SSU rRNA
Rfam family: Bacterial small subunit ribosomal RNA
Source: RNAcentral
GUGAGGAAUUUUCCGCAAUGGGCGAAAGCCUGACGGAGCAAUGCCGCGUGAAGGAUGAAGGCCUAUGGGUUGUAAACUUCUUUUCUCAGAAAAGAAUUAUGACGGUAUCUGAGGAAUAAGCAUCGGCUAACUCUGUGCCAGCAGCCGCGGUAAGACAGAGGAUGCAAGCGUUAUCCGGAAUGAUUGGGCGUAAAGCGUCUGUAGGUUGUUUAAAAAGUAUUCUGUCAAAGAUUAGGGCUUAACCCUAGAUAGGCAGAAUAAACUUUUAAGCUAGGGUUUGGUAGAGGCAGAGGGAAUUCCCGGUGGAGCGGUGAAAUGCGUAGAUAUCGGGAGGAACACCAAAGGCGAAGGCACUCUGCUGGGCCAAUACUAACACUGAGAGACGAAAGCGAGGGGAGCAAAUGGGAUUAGAUACCCGAGUAGUCC